AGAGUUUGAUCCUGGCUCAGGACGAACGCUGGCGGCGUGCCUAACACAUGCAAGUCGAGCGAUGAAGUUCCUUCGGGAACGGAUUAGCGGCGGACGGGUGAGUAACACGUGGGUAACCUGCCUUAUAGAGGGGGAUAGCCUUCCGAAAGGAAGAUUAAUACCGCAUAAAGUUGUUGAUUCGCAUGGAUCGAUAACCAAAGGAGCAAUCCGCUAUAAGAUGGACCCGCGGCGCAUUAGCUAGUUGGUGAGGUAGAAGCUCACCAAGGCGACGAUGCGUAGCCGACCUGAGAGGGUGAUCGGCCACAUUGGGACUGAGACACGGCCCAGACUCCUACGGGAGGCAGCAGUGGGGAAUAUUGCACAAUGGGGGAAACCCUGAUGCAGCAACGCCGCGUGAGUGAUGAAGGCCUUCGGGUUGUAAAGCUCUGUCUUUGGGGACGAUAAUGACGGUACCCAAGGAGGAAGCCACGGCUAACUACGUG
Molecule: ribosomal RNA, 482 nt
Filed under: uncultured Clostridium sp.
Lineage: Bacteria; Bacillati; Bacillota; Clostridia; Eubacteriales; Clostridiaceae
Description: bacterial SSU rRNA
Rfam family: Bacterial small subunit ribosomal RNA
Source: RNAcentral